RNAcentral lists this long non-coding RNA (220 nucleotides) under Medicago truncatula (barrel medic). RNAcentral describes it as "lncRNA gene8788". The record is from RNAcentral. Lineage: Eukaryota; Viridiplantae; Streptophyta; Magnoliopsida; Fabales; Fabaceae.
GGGAUAGACAAGAAAAGAGAGAAUGAGUUGGGUGGUAAAAGGGAAAAACGGAGACGAAACUCUAUAUCAACAAAUUUCGAUAUAGCGUCUUCCACAAAAGCAAAAACAAAGAAAACCGACACAGAGUGAGGUCUUACAAGGUCAAGAAAAGGUCUUACAAGGUCAAGAAGACACAAGUAGAGUAAAAAAAAAGUUAAGAAAAGAGAAAGGUGAAAAAAAA